UGGGGAAUAUUGCGCAAUGGGGGAAACCCUGACGCAGCAACGCCGCGUGAAGGAAGAAGGCCUUCGGGUUGUAAACUUCUUUGAUUAGGGACGAAAAAAAUGACGGUACCUAAAGAACAAGCCACGGCUAACUACGUGCCAGCAGCCGCGGUAAUACGUAGGUGGCAAGCGUUGUCCGGAAUUACUGGGUGUAAAGGGCGUGUAGGCGGGAGGUUAAGUCAGAUGUGAAAUUCCAAAGCUCAACUUUGGCACUGCAUCUGAAACUAAUCUUCUUGAGUACUGGAGAGGAAAGUGGAAUUCCUAGUGUAGCGGUGAAAUGCGUAGAUAUUAGGAGGAACACCAGUGGCGAAAGCGGCUUUCUAGACAGAAACUGACGCUGAGGCGCGAAAGCGUGGGGAGCAAACA
The sequence is a ribosomal RNA, 405 nucleotides long. It matches the Rfam family "Bacterial small subunit ribosomal RNA", at positions 355 to 774 of the family's 1533-position model.